GAAAUUAAUUGAAGAAAAUUCGAAUUCAAGAAGGGGUUUGAAGAAGUGAGGUAUAUGAAACAAAUUUGAGGUUGGAAUUGCAAAUCCCCAAUUCAAUUAUCGACAAAAUUAGGGCUGUGUGAACGAGGGGUUAUGACGAUCAAGUCACAUGGUUGGAAAGCUUGGGAAGUCAGCUUUCCAGUGGUGGUGGCCUCCAGCGGUG
Molecule: long non-coding RNA, 202 nt
Filed under: Erythranthe guttata (spotted monkey flower)
Lineage: Eukaryota; Viridiplantae; Streptophyta; Magnoliopsida; Lamiales; Phrymaceae
Description: long non-coding RNA (EGUT_LNC002101)
Source: RNAcentral